CGAGGAGCUUGCUCCUCUGACGUUAGCGGCGGACGGGUGAGUAACACGUGGAUAACCUACCUAUAAGACUGGGAUAACUUCGGGAAACCGGAGCUAAUACCGGAUAAUAUAUUGAACCGCAUGGUUCAAUAGUGAAAGACGGUUUUGCUGUCACUUAUAGAUGGAUCCGCGCCGCAUUAGCUAGUUGGUAAGGUAACGGCUUACCAAGGCGACGAUGCGUAGCCGACCUGAGAGGGUGAUCGGCCACACUGGAACUGAGACACGGUCCAGACUCCUACGGGAGGCAGCAGUAGGGAAUCUUCCGCAAUGGGCGAAAGCCUGACGGAGCAACGCCGCGUGAGUGAUGAAGGUCUUCGGAUCGUAAAACUCUGUUAUUAGGGAAGAACAAAUGUGUAAGUAACUAUGCACGUCUUGACGGUACCUAAUCAGAAAGCCACGGCUAACUACGUGCCAGCAGCCGCGGUAAUACGUAGGUGGCAAGCGUUAUCCGGAAUUAUUGGGCGUAAAGCGCGCGUAGGCGGUUUUUUAAGUCUGAUGUGAAAGCCCACGGCUCAACCGUGGAGGGUCAUUGGAAACUGGAAAACUUGAGUGCAGAAGAGGAAAGUGGAAUUCCAUGUGUAGCGGUGAAAUGCGCAGAGAUAUGGAGGAACACCAGUGGCGAAGGCGACUUUCUGGUCUGUAACUGACGCUGAUGUGCGAAAGCGUGGGGAUCAAACAGGAUUA
RNAcentral lists this ribosomal RNA (723 nucleotides) under uncultured Staphylococcus sp. RNAcentral describes it as "bacterial SSU rRNA". It matches the Rfam family "Bacterial small subunit ribosomal RNA", at positions 72 to 780 of the family's 1533-position model. Lineage: Bacteria; Bacillati; Bacillota; Bacilli; Caryophanales; Staphylococcaceae. The record is from RNAcentral.